This 103-nucleotide microRNA precursor is filed under the name Marmota monax (woodchuck). Lineage: Eukaryota; Metazoa; Chordata; Mammalia; Rodentia; Sciuridae. The record is from RNAcentral.
AGAGGGAUAGCUGGUUCAAAUGGUGGUUCCAUUCCAAGUUUCCUAAGAAAUAUCUAUAGUGCUUUUCAGAUUGGUUGCACCGAUUUGCCAUACCAUGAGCAAU